RNAcentral lists this ribosomal RNA (889 nucleotides) under Nemania sp. RNAcentral describes it as "partial large subunit ribosomal RNA". It matches the Rfam family "Eukaryotic large subunit ribosomal RNA", at positions 33 to 946 of the family's 3401-position model. Lineage: Eukaryota; Fungi; Ascomycota; Sordariomycetes; Xylariales; Xylariaceae. The record is from RNAcentral.
CUUAAGCAUAUCAAUAAGCGGAGGAAAAGAAACCAACAGGGAUUGCCUCAGUAACGGCGAGUGAAGCGGCAACAGCUCAAAUUUGAAAUCUGGCUUUCGGGUCCGAGUUGUAAUUUGUAGAGGAUGCUUUUGGCGCGGUGCCUUCCGAGUUCCCUGGAACGGGACGCCGUAGAGGGUGAGAGCCCCGUACGGUUGGCAACCAAGCCUCUGUAAAGCUCCUUCGACGAGUCGAGUAGUUUGGGAAUGCUGCUCUAAAUGGGAGGUAAAUUUCUUCUAAAGCUAAAUAUUGGCCAGAGACCGAUAGCGCACAAGUAGAGUGAUCGAAAGAUGAAAAGCACUUUGAAAAGAGGGUUAAACAGCACGUGAAAUUGUUGAAAGGGAAGCGUUUGCGACCAGACCUUUUCCUGGCGGAUCAUCCGGUGUUCUCACCGGUGCACUUCGCCAGGUCGAGGCCAGCAUCGGUUUCUACGGGGGGAUAAAAGCCUGGGGAACGUAGCUCCUCCGGGAGUGUUAUAGCCCCUCGCAUAAUACCCUCGCGGGGACCGAGGACCGCGCUUUGGCAAGGAUGCUGGCGUAAUGGUCGUCAACGACCCGUCUUGAAACACGGACCAAGGAGUCGAACAUUUGUGCGAGUGUUUGGGUGUUAAACCCUCACGCGUAAUGAAGGUGAACGUAGGUGAGAGCCCCCUCGCGGGGCGCAUCAUCGACCGAUCCUGAUGUCUUCGGAUGGAUUUGAGUAAGAGCAUAACUGUUCGGACCCGAAAGAUGGUGAACUAUGCGUGGAUAGGGUGAAGCCAGAGGAAACUCUGGUGGAGGCUCGCAGCGGUUCUGACGUGCAAAUCGAUCGUCAAAUCUGCGCAUGGGGGCGAAAGACUUAUCGAACCAUCUA